This 299-nucleotide signal recognition particle RNA is filed under the name Aotus nancymaae (Ma's night monkey). Its description in RNAcentral is "Metazoan signal recognition particle RNA (ENSANAG00000009287.1)". It matches the Rfam family "Metazoan signal recognition particle RNA". From Rfam's summary of the family: The signal recognition particle (SRP) is a universally conserved ribonucleoprotein. It is involved in the co-translational targeting of proteins to membranes. The eukaryotic SRP consists of a 300-nucleotide 7S RNA and six proteins: SRPs 72, 68, 54, 19, 14, and 9. The record is from RNAcentral. Lineage: Eukaryota; Metazoa; Chordata; Mammalia; Primates; Aotidae.
GCUGGGUGCAGUGGCACGUGCCUGUAGUCCCAGCUACAUGGGAGGCUGAGGCUGGAGGAUCGCUUGAGUCCAGGAGUUCUGGGCUGUAGUGCGCUAUGCCGAUUGGGUGUCCACACUAAGUUCGGCAUCAGUAUGGUGACCUCCUGGGAGCGGGGAACCAUCAGGUUGCCCGAGGAGGUGUGAGCCGGCCUAGGUCGGAAAUGGAGCAGGUCAAAACUCCCGUGCUGAUCGGUAAUGGGAUCGUGCCUGUGAAUAGCCACUGCACUGCAGCCUGGGCAACAUGGUGAGACCCCGUCUCU